RNAcentral lists this transfer RNA (77 nucleotides) under Alphaproteobacteria bacterium. Its description in RNAcentral is "tRNA-Pro". It matches the Rfam family "tRNA". Rfam says of the family: Transfer RNA (tRNA) molecules are approximately 80 nucleotides in length. Lineage: Bacteria; Pseudomonadati; Pseudomonadota; Alphaproteobacteria. RNAcentral also lists the same sequence under 3 other names. The record is from RNAcentral.
CGGGGCGUGGCUCAGCCUGGUAGAGCGCCUGCUUUGGGAGCAGGAUGUCGGAGGUUCGAAUCCUCUCGCCCCGACCA